This 433-nucleotide ribosomal RNA is filed under the name uncultured bacterium. RNAcentral's name for it is "partial 16S ribosomal RNA". It matches the Rfam family "Bacterial small subunit ribosomal RNA", at positions 29 to 507 of the family's 1533-position model. The record is from RNAcentral.
AACGAACGCUGGCGGCAUGCCUAACACAUGCAAGUCGAACGAGACCUUCGGGUCUAGUGGCGCACGGGUGCGUAAUGCGUGGGAACCUGCCCUUAGGUUCGGAAUAACUCCCCGAAAGGGGUGCUAAUACCGGAUAAUGUCUUCGGACCAAAGAUUUAUCGCCUUUGGAUGGGCCCGCGUUGGAUUAGCUAGUUGGUAGGGUAAAAGCCUACCAAGGCGACGAUCCAUAGCUGGUCUGAGAGGAUGAUCAGCCGCACUGGGACUGAGACACGGCCCAGACUCCUACGGGAGGCAGCAGUGGGGAAUAUUGGACAAUGGGCGAAAGCCUGAUCCAGCAAUGCCGCGUGAGUGAUGAAGGCCUUAGGGUUGUAAAGCUCUUUUACCCGGGAUGAUAAUGACAGUACCGGGAGAAUAAGCUCCGGCUAACUCCGUG